AUAUUCCUGUACUUGGUGUUACUGCGAAGGGGGGACGGAGAAGGCUAUGUUGGCCGGGCGACGGUUGUCCCGGUUUAAGCGUGUAGGCUGGUUUUCCAGGCAAAUCCGGAAAAUCAAGGCUGAGGCGUGAUGACGAGGCACUACGGUGCUGAAGCGACAAAUGCCCUGCUUCCAGGAAAAGCCUCUAAGCAUCAGGUAACAUCAAAUCGUACCCCAAACCGACACAGGUGGUCAGGUAGAGAAUACCAAGGCGCUUGAGAGAACUCGGGUGAAGGAACUAGGCAAAAUGGUGCCGUAACUUCGGGAGAAGGCACGCUGAUAUGUAGGUGAAGCGACUUGCUCGUGGAGCUGAAAUCAGUCGAAGAUACCAGCUGGCUGCAACUGUUUAUUAAAAACACAGCACUGUGCAAACACGAAAGUGGACGUAUACGGUGUGACGCCUGCCCGGUGCCGGAAGGUUAAUUGAUGGGGUUAGCGGUAACGCGAAGCUCUUGAUCGAAGCCCCGGUAAACGGCGGCCGUAACUAUAACGGUCCUAAGGUAGCGAAAUUCCUUGUCGGGUAAGUUCCGACCUGCACGAAUGGCGUAAUGAUGGCCAGGCUGUCUCCACCCGAGACUCAGUGAAAUUGAACUCGCUGUGAAGAUGCAGUGUACCCGCGGCAAGACGGAAAGACCCCGUGAACCUUUACUAUAGCUUGACACUGAACAUUGAGCCUUGAUGUGUAGGAUAGGUGGGAGGCUUUGAAGUGUGGACGCCAGUCUGCAUGGAGCCGACCUUGAAAUACCACCCUUUAAUGUUUGAUGUUCUAACGUGGGCCCCUUACCGGGGUUGCGGACAGUGUCUGGUGGGUAGUUUGACUGGGGCGGUCUCCUCCUAAAGAGUAACGGAGGAGCACGAAGGUUGGCUAAUCCUGGUCGGACAUCAGGAGGUUAGUGCAAUGGCAUAAGCCAGCUUGACUGCGAGCGUGACGGCGCGAGCAGGUGCGAAAGCAGGUCAUAGUGAUCCGGUGGUUCUGAAUGGAAGGGCCAUCGCUCAACGGAUAAAAGGUACUCCGGGGAUAACAGGCUGAUACCGCCCAAGAGUUCAUAUCGACGGCGGUGUUUGGCACCUCGAUGUCGGCUCAUCACAUCCUGGGGCUGAAGUAGGUCCCAAGGGUAUGGCUGUUCGCCAUUUAAAGUGGUACGCGAGCUGGGUUUAGAACGUCGUGAGACAGUUCGGUCCCUAUCUGCCGUGGGCGCUGGAGAACUGAGGGGGGCUGCUCCUAGUACGAGAGGACCGGAGUGGACGCAUCACUGGUGUUCGGGUUGUCAUGCCAAUGGCACUGCCCGGUAGCUAAAUGCGGAAGAGAUAAGUGCUGAAAGCAUCUAAGCACGAAACUUGCCCCGAGAUGAGUUCUCCCUGACUCCUUGAGAGUCCUGAAGGAACGUUGAAGACGACGACGUUGAUAGGCCGGGUGUGUAAGCGCAGCGAUGCGUUGAGCUAACCGGUACUAAUGAACCGUGAGGCUUAACCUU
This 1514-nucleotide ribosomal RNA is filed under the name Escherichia coli. RNAcentral describes it as "partial 23S ribosomal RNA". It matches the Rfam family "Bacterial large subunit ribosomal RNA", at positions 1433 to 2925 of the family's 2925-position model. The record is from RNAcentral. Lineage: Bacteria; Pseudomonadati; Pseudomonadota; Gammaproteobacteria; Enterobacterales; Enterobacteriaceae.